Molecule: ribosomal RNA, 468 nt
Filed under: uncultured bacterium
Lineage: Bacteria
Description: partial 16S ribosomal RNA
Rfam family: Bacterial small subunit ribosomal RNA
Source: RNAcentral
GACGAACGCUGGCGGCGUGCCUAAUACAUGCAAGUCGAACGGAAAGGCCCUGCUUUUGUGGGGUGCUCGUGUGGCGCACGGGUGAGUAAAACGUGUGUAACCUGUCCUUGACUUUGGGAUAUCUCCAGGAAACUGGGGCUCAUAUCGCAUAGGAGCUCUUGAUGCACGGUGGUGGUUGGAAAGUUUCGGCGGUUCGGGAUGGACUCGCUGCUUAUCCGCUUCUUGGUGGGGUAGUGGAUUACCAAGCGUUUGACGGAUAGGCGGCCUGAGAGGGUGACCGGGGACAUGGGGACUGAGGGACGGCCCAGAAGGCUACGGGAGGCAGCGGUGGGAAGUAUGGCGGAAUGGGGGGAAGCGUGAUGCAGCGACGCCGCGAGCGUAAAAACGUCCUUCGGGGUAAGAACCGCUUUCGCCUGAGACAAAGCCGGAGUGACGGUAAUGGGUAAGGAAGCAACGGCUAACUACGUG